AUACGUAGGGGGCGAGCGUUGUCCGGAAUGAUUGGGCGUAAAGGGCGCGUAGGCGGCGCGGUAAGUCUGGAGUGAAAGUCCUGCUUUCAAGGUGGGAAUUGCUUUGGAUACUGCCGCGCUUGUGUGCAGGAGAGGUUAUCGGAAUUCCCGGUGUAGCGGUGAAAUGCGUAGAGAUCGGGAGGAACACCAGUGGCGAAGGCGGGUAACUGGACUGAAACUGACGCUGAGGCGCGAAAGUGUGGGGAGCAAACAGGAUUAGAUACCCUGGGAGGCCACAUUGUAAACGAUGAAUGCUAGGAGUAGGGGGUAUCGACGCCUUCUGUGCUGCAGGCAACACAAUAAGCAUACCGCCUGGGGAGUACGGCCUCAAGGUUGAUACUCAAAUGAAUUGACGGGU
This 397-nucleotide ribosomal RNA is filed under the name uncultured bacterium. RNAcentral's name for it is "partial 16S ribosomal RNA". It matches the Rfam family "Bacterial small subunit ribosomal RNA", at positions 523 to 918 of the family's 1533-position model. The record is from RNAcentral.